Molecule: transfer RNA, 72 nt
Filed under: Flavobacteriaceae bacterium
Lineage: Bacteria; Pseudomonadati; Bacteroidota; Flavobacteriia; Flavobacteriales; Flavobacteriaceae
Description: tRNA-Arg
Rfam family: tRNA
About the family: Transfer RNA (tRNA) molecules are approximately 80 nucleotides in length. Their secondary structure includes four short double-helical elements and three loops (D, anti-codon, and T loops).
Source: RNAcentral
AAGCUUAUAGUGUAAUGGAUAGCACCCAAGGCUACGAACCUUGUAGUAUGAGUUCGAAUCUUAUUAAGCUUA